RNAcentral lists this ribosomal RNA (490 nucleotides) under uncultured bacterium. RNAcentral describes it as "bacterial SSU rRNA". It matches the Rfam family "Bacterial small subunit ribosomal RNA", at positions 28 to 507 of the family's 1533-position model. The record is from RNAcentral.
GACGAACGCUAGCUACAGGCUUAACACAUGCAAGUCGAGGGGCAGCAUGAACUUAGCUUGCUAAGUUUGAUGGCGACCGGCGCACGGGUGAGUAACACGUAUCCAACCUGCCGAUGACUCGGGGAUAGCCUUUCGAAAGAAAGAUUAAUACCCGAUGGCAUAGUUCUUCCGCAUGGUAGAACUAUUAAAGAAUUUCGGUCAUCGAUGGGGAUGCGUUCCAUUAGGUUGUUGGCGGGGUAACGGCCCACCAAGCCUUCGAUGGAUAGGGGUUCUGAGAGGAAGGUCCCCCANAUUGGGACUGAGACACGGUCCAAACUCCUACGGGAGGCAGCAGUGAGGAAUAUUGGUCAAUGGACGAGAGUCUGAACCAGCCAAGUAGCGUGAAGGAUGACUGCCCUAUGGGUUGUAAAACUUCUUUAUACGGGAAUAAAGUGAGGCAUGUGUGCCUUUUUGUAUGUACCGUAUGAAUAAGGAUUCGGCUAACUCCGUG